This 253-nucleotide ribosomal RNA is filed under the name uncultured bacterium. RNAcentral describes it as "partial 16S ribosomal RNA". It matches the Rfam family "Bacterial small subunit ribosomal RNA", at positions 524 to 776 of the family's 1533-position model. The record is from RNAcentral.
UACAGAGGUCUCAAGCGUUGUUCGGAUUCAUUGGGCGUAAAGGGUGUGUAGGUGGCGCCGUAAGUCGGGUGUGAAAUUUCGGAGCUUAACUCCGAAACUGCAUUCGAUACUGCGGUGCUUGAGGACUGGAGAGGAGACUGGAAUUCAUGGUGUAGCAGUGAAAUGCGUAGAUAUCGAGAGGAACACCAGUGGCGAAGGCGGGUCUCUGGACAGUUCCUGACGCUGAGGCACGAAGGUCAGGGGAGCAAACGGG